Nerophis lumbriciformis (worm pipefish) is the source of this 841-nucleotide long non-coding RNA. RefSeq lists it as uncharacterized. The record is from RefSeq and is a predicted model, not a curated record. NCBI's taxonomy places the organism in Eukaryota, Metazoa, Chordata, Actinopteri, Syngnathiformes, Syngnathidae.
AGAACAUUAGCUCGUGCUCCGCGUGCACAUGUUCCUGACACAAAAGAAGUCCCACUGCUUUUAAAUUGGCUUGUCUCUACCGCCACCUACAGCCUGGUGCCCAAAUGUCAAAAAUAAGUCCGCUCAUUUGAGCAGGAAAACGCUGAACACCAUCUUUGUUUUCUACCUGUCAACUGUCAGUUCAGGCUGCUCGCCGACUCCUCAUCACCACUUCAAGAUGGCGGCGGAAUUUCUCGCGUCACAGCAGCCAAUCCUGCGUCUACUUCUAAGAUGUCUAUGACGAAAAGGGUUCAAUUUAACUAUACACAUUUAAGUGGUACGAAUAAGAUGUUCAAAUUCAGUGCUAAUACGGAAAGUUAAAUUACCAAUAUUUUAAAUAUGAUUAUAGUGAAAACUCACAGUAAACUACUGUUGCUACAAUUACUUGAAAUGCAUGUAGAGCCAUCUAGCGAUCUGGAUUAUAUCACAACGAUUAGGGAUUAUGUACUCAAGUCUUUGAGGCUAAAGUAUGGUGGUUAAUUUGUGUCAUUACUACGCAAGCUUUUAUUUUUUCCUUUUUUUUUUGUUUGAAUUUUGUGACCUAAAAUUUUUUUGACAUGAAAAUACGUUGACAACUUCAUUGAAUAGACAUUUGUGAAGAAAAUUUGUGUUAAAAAUCAGUUAGAUGAAAUUCAGUGUGUAAAGAAAUUAGUGUAAAAAAAAUUAGUGUAAAAAAAGCAGUGUAUACAAAUUCAGUGUACAAAAAAAAUUCAGUGCAAAAUAAUGUAAAAAAAAUAAAAAACAAUAUUAAAAUUCUAUGUAAAAAAUAAAAAAUAAAUAAAAAAAAUCAGUGCAGAAAAAU